GUAGGGUGCAAGCGUUAAUCGGAAUUACUGGGCGUAAAGCGUGCGCAGGCGGUUAUGCAAGACAGAUGUGAAAUCCCCGGGCUCAACCUGGGAACUGCAUCCGAAACUGCCUUGCUAGAGUAUGGGAGAGGGAAGCGGAAUUUCCGGUGUAGCAGUGAAAUGCGUAGAUAUUAGGAAGAACACCGGUGGCGAAGGCGGCCCACUGGUCCGGUACUGACGCUGAGGCGCGAAAGCUAGGGGAGCAAACAGGAUUAGAUACCCUGGUAGUCCACGCCGUAAACGAUGGGCACUAGGUGUAGGAGGUAUUGACCCCUUCUGUGCCGAAGCUAACGCAUUAAGUGCCCCGCCUGGGGAGUACGGCCGCAAGGUUA
RNAcentral lists this ribosomal RNA (371 nucleotides) under uncultured bacterium. RNAcentral describes it as "bacterial SSU rRNA". It matches the Rfam family "Bacterial small subunit ribosomal RNA", at positions 527 to 896 of the family's 1533-position model. The record is from RNAcentral.